GCGAGAAUUCUUCCCGCAAUGGGACGAAAGUCUGACGGAGCAACGCCGCGUGAGCGAUGAAGGCCUUCGGGUCGUAAAGCUCUGUUGUUAGGGAAGAACAAGUGCUAGUUAAAUAAGCUGGCACCUUGACGGUACCUAACCAAAAAGCCACGGCUAACUACUUGCCACCACCCGCGGUAAUUAAAAAAA
Molecule: ribosomal RNA, 189 nt
Filed under: uncultured Bacillus sp.
Lineage: Bacteria; Bacillati; Bacillota; Bacilli; Caryophanales; Bacillaceae
Description: partial 16S ribosomal RNA
Rfam family: Bacterial small subunit ribosomal RNA
Source: RNAcentral